Molecule: non-coding RNA, 4800 nt
Organism: Amborella trichopoda
Lineage: Eukaryota; Viridiplantae; Streptophyta; Magnoliopsida; Amborellales; Amborellaceae
Source: RefSeq, a predicted model, not a curated record
CGUGGUACAGUGAGGGAGUGGUCCGCAAUGGAGGGGAGAAAAGUGGAGGUGGCAUUUAUCACGUGCAUACUGCAGUUCACUUGUAAUCCGGUGCCCAGAUCUCUCUCUCUAACGUGACAAAUAAAGUUUAACAAAAAAUGCCCUGCUCUUAUUCGAUGUCUGAUCUCGCUCUCGCUCUCUCUGCACGGGUAAUCUGGUGCCCAGAGCUCUCUGUCUGUUUCCCUAAUCUGGCACCAGAGCUCUCUAUUCUCUCUCUAUCUCUAGAGUCUAACAAAUAAAGUUUAACAAAAACUCCCCAGCUUUGUUUGGAACUGUGAUCUCUCUCUCUGCGCUUUGUUUCGAAUUGUGAUCUCUCUCUCUGUAUCGUAACGCCUACCUUCUUGCCCACCCCUUCCUUUUCUUCUCUGUCUCACUUUUCUAUGUUCUUAGCCGUUGGAGAUAUUAAAGGGAUGAUGAGUGCUUGAUGCAUUCCCCUUGCCAAGCAAGUUGGUUAUCAGUGUCCUUGUCAGAAGGCCGAUCUUCGUAAUUAUUUAUUGCUAUUCUUUUGAAGUUAAUUUAAAUUUGUGGAGAGAGAGAGAGGAGCCAAUGAGAGCGAGGGGACAUGCAGAGCCCAUCCUACGACACAGAUCGUUCCUCUUCGGUUGCUACUAGAGAAGAGGAUGGUCAACUAAGCCAAAGCAAUGAUGGAAGCAUCACACCUUCUCUUGGAAGAAUUUCAGAGCCUUCUAGACAUUGGAGGGAUGUUUUCUGGUUGGGUAUCUUUGUUAUACACUUGGCUGUGUUGGGAUUUGUCCUUGCAGUACUUGGACUAAAUCGAUUCAAGAAGUUGGAUAGAUUCAAAAUCGACCGAUACACAUACAAGAUUAUUGAGAAUGAAGCAGGACAGACAGAGACAUAUUGGCCUUUUUAUGCUUUAGCAGCUGGUAUUGGUACUUCGUUGGGAUGGGCUUGGUUGUCACUACUAGGAACUCGUGCAAAUCAAAUGAUGAAGAUUUCAGUGCACAUCUUGACAACUUACCUUGCUGUCAUAAGUGCAUUGUGUUUCUGGGACAAGCAGAUUUUCUGGGCUAUAGCAUUUGCUAUUGGUGCUGCUUUACAGUUUAUGUAUGUCAUGUCUGUGAUGGACAGGUUUCCGUUCACAAUGUUGGUUUUGCAAAAAGGCGUCAAGAUGGUUUGGAACGUUCCUGAGGUUAUGAGGGUUACCUAUGCAUUUAUGGGAUUAAUGCUCGUGUGGUUCGCAAUUUGGUCUUUUGGAGUAUCUGGUGUGGUUGCUUCAAGCAUAGGUGAUGGUGGCUGCUGGUGGCUUCUUGGGGUACUCUCAAUCAGUUUGUUUUGGACAGGUGCUGUUCUUUGUAACACUGUCCAUGUGGUAGUAUCUGGUAUGGUUGUUCUAGUUCUCUUAAACGGUGGUCAAGGAUCAUCAUCAAUGCCACCAAAGCCAUUGCUAAGGACUCUGCAACAUGCUUUGACUACAUCUCUGGGUAGCAUCUGCUAUGGAUCUCUUUUCACUGCUGCCAUCCGAACAUUGAGAUGGGAGAUCCGUGGGUUUCGAUCGAAAAUUGGCAACAAUGAGUGUUUGCUCUGCUGUGUAGACUUCUUAUUUAAUCUUGUUGAGACACUUGUUCGCUUCUUCAACAAAUAUGCAUAUGUUCAGAUAGCAGUUUCUGGGAAGAGCUUUAACCAUUCAGCAAGGGAUGCGUGGGAGCUAUUUCAGUCAACUGGCAUUGAAGCCCUUAUUGCUUAUGAUUGUUCUGGUGCAGUUCUCUUGAUGGGAACAACUUUGGGUGGACUUAUUACUGGAACAUGUGCCGGAAUCUGGACAUGGUUCAAGAAAAGUGAUAGAGUGGUUAUGGUUGGUUUUACGGCUAUGUUGAUGGGGAUGAUCUUGUGUCCAGGUACCAAUUACCACACACAGUUGCUCAUUCCCUUUUCCUUUUUGGAAGGUAACAUAUCUUACACCUCUAUGGAAUUACAAAUUAAACAUCAGGUAGGAUUAGCCUUCGUUUGGAUUUGUGUCCAUUAAAGGCUUUACCACUUGGUUUUCAAUUCACAGCUAGUUUAUCCCAUGUAUUCUGUAUUGUUUAUAUAAUCAAAAUAAAACUCCCAAUUUGAGUGCGAGUGUUGGCUCCAUGGAUAAAACAUGCCAUGAGAGCAGGCAAUAUAUUGUUUAGGGUGGUUUUGACAUGAGCAUCUGUUUUGAUCGGACUCUAUGGUUGGGGCCAAGAGCGCUCUAUCACUCUCACAUUGGAUGUGACUAAGCCUUGGUUAGGAGGAGCGGAAUCCGCACCUUGGGCUGGAUAUGUGCUAACAAUAGUUCCUGGAUGCAUCACCAAAUUGGUCUGAUGGGUGUUGUAGAUGUCAAAGCCUAUUGUCAUAUCUUUUUUGUAUUUCCCUCGAGGACUUAUUCGUCCUUUUGCCAUACAUAGGGAGCACGUUUUGUACUUUUUAUAAUUGAUCAAUUCUAAAUAAGAAUAGGAGGGGCAUAUGGAUGAGGUAACCCUAAUGUGACAGCCCCUUCAUGCUUCUCUCCUCAAUGCCACACUUUCUCACUUCCUCUCUCGAACUCUUCUAUCAGUAAAUCUGUGCUCUCUCUAGACUUUCUCCUUCCUUUUCCUCUUCUUUUUCUCUGUUUCGACAUUUUUUAACCUGUUAUAAGAGAAUGAGACUUCAACAUAGGUGUUUUACAUCCUAAUGAUGUGAUGUGAUCGUGCAAGUGUCUUCAUCAGCCGUACGGUUAGAAACCCGUAUUCCAAAAAACAGGUACUGAAUGUAAAACCUUGAUUAUGCCGUUGGAUUCUACUUUUGAUGUUAGGUUAGAAACUCUAGAUCUGGUUGGGAUGAUUUGAUGAUUUCAAAAUCAAUUGUUGGACAACUUGACCAUGUCAACCCCUUUAUUUUGAGUUGUGAGACUCAUGUUCUUGAGAUCUCUUGUAUAGAUGAUCUCAAAUCCUUGUGGGAGGGCAUUUGAGCGGCUGUUUGUGUUGAUUUUAAACCCCACUUUUCUUGUUUCAAAUUUGAUUUUAAAAUUAGUUACAGAUAAGAUAGGAAAUCUUUAAAUUUUAAAUAAGAUUUGAUUUCUUAUUCUAUUAUCUUAGAUUAUGGGAGAUCUAGAUAAUGAUAAGAUUGGUUAUAUUUUUAAAUUUAAAAAAGAGUUGGACUAGGGUCAAAAUCUAAAGGGAUAAUAUUAUUAUCCUUCCACCUAAAAUCAUGAUGGUUUAUUUGUGGGAUGAAUUGCUCUCGACUAAAUCUCUCUCACCCCACAGAUUUCUUAAUUAUCCUAAAAAUCAAGCUGAAAAUUAAAUAAGGAUACUUAGAUUGGUUACCUAUUCAAAAUAAGAAAUAGAUCUUGUUUCUAUUUAAACAAGAUUUCAGGCCCCUCUCUCAUUACGAGAUUUUUUCUCUCACAUAAAAAGAUUCGUCUCUCACACCCCAAGUUUUUUCUCUCCAUGCCAGAAUAUUCUCUCUUUCACAUCAAAUUUUCUCUCCUCUUAGAGAAUCACGCCAUCCUCUCUCCUCUUAGAGAAUCAUGCCACCCUCUCGCCUCUGCUAUGUACAUGGUGAAGCCCUAGAGUAUGGUUUGUUGUAUUUGAAGAAAAGAAGGGAGAAGCCCAGCUAGAGAGAGAUCAACUCACAGAUUCAGUUCUAAGUUGUUCUUACAGGGUAUGUAGAAACCCUAGUUUGAUUUUUGAGCUCUCUAAAACCCUAGAGGAAGAAGUAUUGUCUAAAAAGCUUCCUAUCUUAGAAUUUCCAUCAACACUUAAAAUGAGUAAAAGUACGUCAUUGGUCAGGGAAUCAGAUGUAGGGUGUACCAAGACUUGUGAGGGUAACUUCAGGCAUCUUUCAGUAAGUCUUUUUAGUAGCUGUACUUAUUUUCAGCAUUAUUUCUUCUUCUUUUUUGUGAAUUUCUAGGAACUUGUUUUGUAUUAAAAAUCAUAGUGGAAAUUAGUUUAAAGCUCUUGGAUGGUUUUUAUUUCUUUUGGUAGUAAAAAUAAAGAUCUUAGGUUGUAUAUAGGGUAGUAUUUUAAUUUGUAGCAACAUAUAGUGGUUCACGUAAAUGGAAUUUUGGUAUUUGGAAUAAAAGUAAAAGAAAAUUUUCAAAUUUAAUACCUUGAGUUCCACAUAACCACCCUUUCAGGAAUAGACAUCUUUUGGGAGGUUGAUCGAGCUCUUUUCUUGAGCAGGAAUAUUCCCAAAAAAUUUUGGUCCGAAGCUGUGCUCGCAAUAUCUUAUUGUAUAAUUGUACAUCGUCUUGUGUUCUAGACUGAAAAUCUCCCUUUAAGCUUCUCCACCCUAAUUGUCCAUUGUUUAGUGUACCUUCGAUACUCUGGACGUGUUUGCUUUACUCUUGUAUUUGGUUCGUAGCGUACAAAGUUGGAUCCCAAGUCUGCAAAAUGUAUCUUUCUUGGCUAUUCGUCAUCUCAAAAGGUUUGCAAAUGUUAUGAUCCAGUCUUAGGGAAGAAGUUUGUUUCAAUGGAUUCCACUGUCUUUGAGUGAACUCCAUUUUUUCCUUCUCGUUUGGGGGAGCAUAGUGUGGAGGAGAGGUCUUUUGUUCCCCUUCCUAUUUUCGUUUUUCUUGAUUGUGAAGCUCAGGAAGUUAGUGGAGGGCAAUCGUAUGAUGUUGAAAAGAAAGAACUGAAAGUUUGUACUCGACCGAAACAAAAAGUAGAGCCGCCAUAGCUGAGAAGCCUCCAAAGCAAUUGCGUAACUCUGAUCCAGGUUGGUCUGGCAAUGGUCGUGGUAGAAAGUGCUGUUACAUCCAUAUACAUCUGCUAUGCUGAGGAUCCUCUUUUAAUUAACAGA